AGAGUUUGAUCAUGGCUCAGAUUGAACGCUGGCGGCAGGCCUAACACAUGCAAGUCGAACGGUAACAGGAAGAAGCUUGCUUCUUUGCUGACGAGUGGCGGACGGGUGAGUAAUGUCUGGGAAACUGCCUGAUGGAGGGGGAUAACUACUGGAAACGGUAGCUAAUACCGCAUAACGUCGCAAGACCAAAGAGGGGGACCUUCGGGCCUCUUGCCAUCGGAUGUGCCCAGAUGGGAUUAGCUAGUAGGUGGGGUAACGGCUCACCUAGGCGACGAUCCCUAGCUGGUCUGAGAGGAUGACCAGCCACACUGGAACUGAGACACGGUCCAGACUCCUACGGGAGGCAGCAGUGGGGAAUAUUGCACAAUGGGCGCAAGCCUGAUGCAGCCAUGCCGCGUGUAUGAAGAAGGCCUUCGGGUUGUAAAGUACUUUCAGCGGGGAGGAAGGGAGUAAAGUUAAUACCUUUGCUCAUU
RNAcentral lists this ribosomal RNA (473 nucleotides) under Escherichia coli 3-020-07_S3_C2. RNAcentral's name for it is "bacterial SSU rRNA". It matches the Rfam family "Bacterial small subunit ribosomal RNA", at positions 8 to 477 of the family's 1533-position model. Lineage: Bacteria; Pseudomonadati; Pseudomonadota; Gammaproteobacteria; Enterobacterales; Enterobacteriaceae. The record is from RNAcentral.